ACGGCUCAGUAACACGUGGCUAACCCACCCUUGAGACGGAGAAAACCCCGGGAAACUGGGGUUAAUCUCCGAUAAGAGAAGACACCUGGAAUGGGUCUCCUCUCAAAGGGCGCCUAGACCAUGCUUCUAGGCGUUGCUCAAGGACGGGGCCGCGGCCGAUCAGGUCGUUGGUGAGGCAACGGCUCACCAAGCCUAUAACCGGUACGGGCCGUGAGAGCGGGAGCCCGGAGAUGGGCACUGAGACAAGGGCCCAGGCCCUACGGGGCGCAGCAGUUGCGAAAACUCCGCAAUGCACGAAAGUGUGACGGGGCUACCCCGAGUGCCGUCCGCUGAGGGCGGCUUUUCCCCGGUGUAAGGAGCCGGGGGAAUAAGGAGAGGGCAAGUCUGGUGUCAGCCGCCGCGGUAAUACCAGCUCUCCGAGUGGUAGGGAUGAUUAUUGGGCUUAAAGCGUCCGUAGCCGGCCCGGCAAGUCUUCCGUUAAAUCCAACGAUUCAAUCGUUGGACUGCAGGAGAUACUGUUGGGCUAGGAGGCGGGAGAGGCCGACGGUAUUCUCGGGGUAGGGGUAAAAUCCUAUAAUCCCGGGAGGACCACCAGUGGCGAAGGCGGUCGGCUAGAACGCGCUCGACGGUGAGGGACGAAAGCUGGGGGAGCGAACCGGAUUAGAUACCCGGGUAGUCCCAGCUGUAAACGAUGCGGGCUAGGUGUUGGGGCGGCUACGGGCCGCUUCAGUGCCGCAGGGAAACCAUUAAGCCCGCCGCCUGGGGAGUACGGCCGCAAGGCUGAAACUUAAAGGAAUUGGCGGGGGAG
This 808-nucleotide ribosomal RNA is filed under the name uncultured archaeon. Its description in RNAcentral is "bacterial SSU rRNA". It matches the Rfam family "Archaeal small subunit ribosomal RNA", at positions 85 to 876 of the family's 1478-position model. The record is from RNAcentral.